This is a long non-coding RNA of Dreissena polymorpha, 899 nucleotides long. RefSeq lists it as uncharacterized. NCBI's taxonomy places the organism in Eukaryota, Metazoa, Mollusca, Bivalvia, Myida, Dreissenidae. The record is from RefSeq and is a predicted model, not a curated record. The transcript is spliced from 3 exons.
AACAAUGCAUACAAAUCGAAAUCUAAAAAGCGCGGAACUUUCAUAUAUUUUCCGUCGGAGCAAUUAUUUUUCAACCCUGUAGAAAAAGCGGGCUCAAUUAAUCGCGCGGAACCUUAUUUAUCUACUCUGUACAAAUAGUAGUGUUUAAAAUCGCGCGGAGAUUGUAGAAUGCUAUUUUAAGAAGUCUAUUAAAGAGAGAAAUCCAGUAAAUACCAGAUCCAAAAAGCGCGGAACACAAAUAUCGUCCGCGAAAAUUAAGCAUUGAAUUACUGUACAAAUCUCGGGUUGUUAGGUGUUAGAAUCCCUAGUUACCCGAAAAAUUUGAUUGGAUCCGAUACUUAGAAAUAACCAAUCAGAUACUUUGUAACAAAUGCAACACAAUCAGUGCGUUCAAUAAGUAUAACGUUUCAAGAUGGCGGAGCGAAUUGCAUGGUUAUUGUUUCUACUCGAUAAUUCGUAAAUAGAUCAGAUUGGGAUCAAUAACUUUAUUGCAUACGAUCAUUUACAUGAAUUACCUGGUGUGUGUUGCCAGUAAUGGUUGAAGAUAUGCCAAACAAAUUGUGCCUCUCUAUACAGACAGAUUUCAGGUCUCAAUUUCAACUUCAAAGGUCAACAUAUCACUGAUAUCAGGAAUUCUGUGAAACUGUGGCACCAUGUAUGGUACGUGAGCGCACAAUGUCUGUUGGGAAAAGGAUAUUGGAAUAAGCAAAGGUAAAUUUUAUGUGAAGGAGGCUUGACAAUUGCAAAUAUGGUUAGUUUUUUUGUAAGGCUCGCAGAAAGUGGCCCUAGCCUUCAUAUGUAAACAAAAAGCUGAAGGAGUAUUUAUGAAAAAUCGUGUAAUCAAGUGUGCAAUCUGUUACAUUUUAUUUAUUAGCUCAUCUAUUUUUUUUGAAAAAAAA